CUACACAUACUACUACUGAGAUGCCAGUGAUCCUGACCCCUUCUGCUCUCCAUACCUGCCUGAUCCAUCCUGAUGCCCUACAUCUGGUUGAGUUCUCAUCACUUGGAAAUCACUCACUGUUGCUGGGUGCAGCCUAAAGAUACUUGCCAACUCCCAUUCAGUCUGUUCAGAGAGAAGAAAUAUGGUGGGAAACUGUAAUGUCCCAGCGCAUCCAGAUAAUUUUUGUGCUCGCAACAAAACAUGAUGUGCUUCGGAAAGAAUGUAGCAACAAGAAAUGCAAUGAAACAAGCAGCGCUUUUCCAAUAUGGAGUCAUUUAUUACUGAUGAAGGGGAUGAAGCUGGACACAGAAUUAGCGAUGCUGCUCCUGGACAGGGUCAUGGUGAAUGAAAUCAUGUGAAUCAUGCUUUCUGAGUUGUCCAAAAAACAAACAGACAAACAAACAAAAAAAACCCAACCCUUCUCCUGGCUUCACACAUGCAAUGCUCCUGGGAAGAGUGAACACGACUGAAAGGUUUCCUGCAUGCCUUAAGAGAAGUCAGGAAACAGACAUGGGGCAUUCUGGUGGGAAGCAGGCAGUAGGUCGGUGACAUCCUAGCCGGAUGUGGUGGCAGAGCUGGGAUGGACUUGCCGGGGUUAGGAAGCGGAGCUGGGACAUGCUCUCUGGAGUCAGAUGGUGGGGCUGUCGGCCCCUGGCGUGAGCAGGUCAUGGGAGGCUGCGCCGUUAGCCUCAGGUCAUGGGAAGCUGCACCAUCUGCUUCUGGCAUGAGCAGGAGUGAUGGGUCUGCCUCGUCAGCCUCUGGCGGGUGCUCGGCUGUGGAAGGAGCUCUGUGGGGAGGCCGCGCUGUUGAUUACUGGCUGGAGCUCUGCUGGACACUUCACUUCCUUUGUAUCCAGUUCUCCUCUCCUUGUAGUUAAUUGUGAAGGGCCAAGCAGGUUCAGCCAUCAGGCCCUCACCAAACAAUUUUCAAAUUUCAAGAUCGGGCUUAAACUCUGCCCACCCGAACACCACUCUAAGGAGGUGUACAAACUCCGCUAUGCUUCCUAGGCCUAGGUUCCCCGUGGCACCCAGGAGCUCCACCGACACUGCUACAUCCAUGGUGAAGGCAGAGUAUUCUUUCAGGAAUGGAGCGGUGAGAUGAAUGCAAAUGCAGUUAAGGCUUUUAUUAGAAAGGCAGGCGGACAAAUCCAAAACAUGAAACCAAAUUAAGAAUAUGUGUAUGUGACCCAUAAAUAAAAAUGUUGAAAAUCUUAAGGUGACACAAUCACCAAACAACAAUGUCAGGAGAUAUCCAAAUUACAUAAAACAGGAGACAGAAGACAUCAAGAACUGGGAUACAUCAACAUAGAAUAAAAUGGCUCAGUAAAGUCAGACAGGUAUACUGAAC
This is a long non-coding RNA of Ictalurus punctatus (channel catfish), 1386 nucleotides long. Lineage: Eukaryota; Metazoa; Chordata; Actinopteri; Siluriformes; Ictaluridae. The record is from Ensembl.